This is a non-coding RNA of Vicugna pacos (alpaca), 174 nucleotides long. The record is from RefSeq and is a predicted model, not a curated record. Lineage: Eukaryota; Metazoa; Chordata; Mammalia; Artiodactyla; Camelidae.
UGAAUUCUUUCCUGCACAAACCAAGGACCCACAUUUGUCGGGGCACGUCCCAGGGACCCAAACGAGACCUGGGAUACAGCCCUCCUCUCGCCCCACAUUUUCCUGUAUCAGAACUACACUUGAGAGUACAAAAAGAGAAGAGGUUACUUUGCCAUGCUUCUUGCAGUAGCUCAG